This 253-nucleotide ribosomal RNA is filed under the name uncultured bacterium. RNAcentral describes it as "partial 16S ribosomal RNA". It matches the Rfam family "Bacterial small subunit ribosomal RNA", at positions 524 to 776 of the family's 1533-position model. The record is from RNAcentral.
UACGGGGGGGGCAAGCGUUGUUCGGAAUUACUGGGCGUAAAGGGCUCGUAGGCGGCCAACUAAGUCAGACGUGAAAUCCCUCGGCUUAACCGGGGAACUGCGUCUGAUACUGGAUGGCUUGAGAUUGGGAGAGGGAUGCGGAAUUCCAGGUGUAGCGGUGAAAUGCGCAGAUAUCAGGAGGAACACCGGUGGCGAAGGCGGGUCUCUGGGCAUUAACUGACGCUGAGGAGCGAAAGCAUGGGGAGCGAACAGG